UGGGGAAUAUUGCACAAUGGAGGGAACUCUGAUGCAGCAACGCCGCGUGCGGGAUGACGGCCUUCGGGUUGUAAACCGCUUUCAGCCAUGACGAAGCUUUUGUGACGGUAGUGGUAGAAGAAGCACCGGCUAACUACGUGCCAGCAGCCGCGGUGAUACGUAGGGUGCGAGCGUUGUCCGGAAUUAUUGGGCGUAAAGAGCUUGUAGGCGGUUUGUCGCGUCGAUAGUGUAAACACGCAGCUUAACUGUGUGCCUGCUGUCGAUACGGGCUGACUAGAGACGGGUAGGGGAGAAUGGAAUUCCCGGUGGAGCGGUGGAAUGCGCAGAUAUCGGGAGGAACACCAGUGGCGAAGGCGGUUCUCUGGACCUUUCCUGACGCUGAGAAGCGAAAGCGUGGGUAGCAAACAGG
RNAcentral lists this ribosomal RNA (409 nucleotides) under Fusobacteriota bacterium. Its description in RNAcentral is "Fusobacteria bacterium partial 16S ribosomal RNA". It matches the Rfam family "Bacterial small subunit ribosomal RNA", at positions 355 to 776 of the family's 1533-position model. Lineage: Bacteria; Fusobacteriati; Fusobacteriota. The record is from RNAcentral.